Molecule: transfer RNA, 72 nt
Organism: Ovis aries (sheep)
Lineage: Eukaryota; Metazoa; Chordata; Mammalia; Artiodactyla; Bovidae
Rfam family: tRNA
About the family: Transfer RNA (tRNA) molecules are approximately 80 nucleotides in length. Their secondary structure includes four short double-helical elements and three loops (D, anti-codon, and T loops).
Source: Rfam
UCCCUUGUGGCUCAGAUGGUAAAGCGUCUGCCUACAAUGCAGAAGAUCCAGGUUCAAUCCCUGGGUCGGGAA